Long non-coding RNA from Brienomyrus brachyistius, 398 nucleotides. RefSeq lists it as uncharacterized. The transcript has 4 exons. Lineage: Eukaryota; Metazoa; Chordata; Actinopteri; Osteoglossiformes; Mormyridae. The record is from RefSeq and is a predicted model, not a curated record.
GCUUCUGUGAGGAGCACUGGCAUUAGCAUUGUGGUUAGCGCUGAGGUUAGCUUUCUAGCUUCUGUGAGGAGCACUGGCAUUAGCAUUGUGGUUAGCGUUGAGGUUAGCUUUCUAGCUUCUGUGAGGAGCACUGGCAUUAGCAUUGCGGUUAGCGCUGAGGUUAGCUUUCUAGCUUCUGUGAGGAGAACUGGCAUUAGCAUAGUGGUUAGCACUGAGGUUAGCUAUCUUGCUUCUGUGAGGCACACUGACAUUAGCAUUGUGGUUAGCGCUGAGGUUAGCUUUCUAGCUUCUGUGAGGCACACCGACAUUAGCAUUGUGGUUAGCACUGAGGUUAGCUUUCUAGCUUCUGUGAGGCACACCGACAUUAGCAUUGUGGUUAGCACCGAAGUUAACUUUCU